Cervus elaphus (red deer) is the source of this 535-nucleotide long non-coding RNA. RefSeq lists it as uncharacterized. The record is from RefSeq and is a predicted model, not a curated record. The transcript is spliced from 3 exons. NCBI's taxonomy places the organism in Eukaryota, Metazoa, Chordata, Mammalia, Artiodactyla, Cervidae.
GGCCCUGGGCGGUGACUGGGAGCGCUCCACGUCCGGCCUGAGGGGCUUGAGGCCGAGUAGGGCAUUGUCUUCAGUUCCCAGUGAGGAGCCCCUCAGGUCCCCACGGCCACGAUGCUUCCAGUGAGCAAGCUUUCUCAGGGGUCGAGAAGGACCUGAAAUAAAGUGGCCCCUUGGAGCUGACUCCCAUCUCUCAUCACUCCCAUCCUUGGUUGAGGAGCCUCUGAGCCUGUGAAUCAAAGGCAGGUUAAGAUGAUGGAUGUUGCACACACCAAGUGUUUGCAUUGCAGCUGAGGAACACUGAAUUGUGGAAUCCACCAUUUUUAAAGCAGGUAGUAAGCAAGCCUGGUCUUUUCUCUGGGGAAAAUGUUCCUCAUCUCUCAAGGUUCCCAGCUACAUAACAACCCUGAGAGAGAGUCCAGGUUAAAGAGUAGUCUGGUAUGCAAUCUUGGCACACCCAGCAAGAUAUCAAGAAUGCAAGAAACCCAAGGAGGACUAUCUUUUCCAACAAAAGAAUAUUUAAGAGUGACUUAGAGAC